GUGAAAUCAUAGUUGUCCUAUGAUUACAGCUAUUGCUGUAGGACACAGAGUUGUUCUCGGUCAUGCUGGUCAUGUAAGGAAAUUCAAUAUCUUAAAGGAUUGAAAGAAUUUCAGCAGUGAGCUGUUCCAGAUUUGAGUUGAUCAGGGUUUAGCAGGGUGUAUCAUUGUUGUAGAUGUGAGGUUAGCUUGGGUUUAGCAGGGUGUACCAGUGUUCUAGUGAGGUUAGCUAGGGUUUAGCAGGGUGUAUCAGUGUUGUAGAUGUGAGGUUAGCUAGGGUUUAGCAGGGUAUAUCAGUGUUGUAGAUGUGAGGUUAGCUAGGGUUUAGCAGGGUGUAUCAGUGUUCUAGAUGUGAGGUUAGCUAGGGUUUAGCAGGGUGUAUCAGUGUUGUAGAUGUGAGGUUAGCUAGGGUUUAGCAGGGUAUAUCAGUGUUGUAGAUGUGAGGUUAGCUAGGGUUUAGCAGGGUGUAUCAGUGUUCUAGAUGUGAGGUUAUCUAGGGUUUAGCAGGGUGUAUCAGUGUUCUAGUGAGGUUAGCUAGGGUUUAGCAGGGUGUAUCAGUGUUCUAGUGAGGUUAGCUAGGGUUUAGCAGGGUGUAUCAGUGUUGUAGAUGUGAGGUUAGCUAGGUUUUAGCAGGGUGUAUCAGUGUUCUAG
This is a long non-coding RNA of Oncorhynchus tshawytscha (Chinook salmon), 648 nucleotides long. Lineage: Eukaryota; Metazoa; Chordata; Actinopteri; Salmoniformes; Salmonidae. The record is from Ensembl.